RNAcentral lists this ribosomal RNA (253 nucleotides) under uncultured bacterium. Its description in RNAcentral is "partial 16S ribosomal RNA". It matches the Rfam family "Bacterial small subunit ribosomal RNA", at positions 524 to 776 of the family's 1533-position model. The record is from RNAcentral.
UACGGAGGGUGCAAGCGUUAUCCGGAUUUACUGGGUUUAAAGGGUGCGUAGGUGGGUCUGUAAGUCAGUGGUGAAAUCUCCGAGCUUAACUCGGAAACUGCCAUUGAUACUAUAGGUCUUGAAUUAUCUGGAGGUAAGCGGAAUAUGUCAUGUAGCGGUGAAAUGCUUAGAUAUGACAUAGAACACCAAUUGCGAAGGCAGCUCACUACACGAAUAUUGACACUGAGGCACGAAAGCGUGGGGAUCAAACAGG